GAUGAACGCUGGCGGCGUGCCUAAUACAUGCAAGUCGAGCGAACAGACGAGGAGCUUGCUCCUUUGACGUUAGCGGCGGACGGGUGAGUAACACGUGGGUAACCUACCUAUAAGACUGGGAUAACUUCGGGAAACCGGAGCGAAUACCGGAUAAUAUUUCGAACCGCAUGGUUCGAUAGUGAAAUAUGGCUUUGCUAUCACUUAUAGAUGGACCUGCGCCGUAUUAGCUAGUUGGUAAGGUAACGGCUUACCAAGGCAACGAUACGUAGCCGACCUGAGAGGGUGAUCGGUCACAUUGGAACUGAGACACGGUCCAGACUCCUACGGGAGGCAGCAGUAGGGAAUCGUCCGCAAUGGGCGAAAGCCUGACGGAGUAACGCCGCGUGAGUGAUGAAGGUCUUAGGAUCGUAAAACUCUGUUAUUAGGGAAGAACAAACGUGUAAGUAACUGUUCACGUCUUGACGGUACCUAAUCAGAAAGCCACGGCUAACUACGUG
RNAcentral lists this ribosomal RNA (497 nucleotides) under uncultured bacterium. RNAcentral describes it as "partial 16S ribosomal RNA". It matches the Rfam family "Bacterial small subunit ribosomal RNA", at positions 28 to 507 of the family's 1533-position model. The record is from RNAcentral.